RNAcentral lists this ribosomal RNA (405 nucleotides) under Oenococcus oeni. Its description in RNAcentral is "bacterial LSU rRNA". It matches the Rfam family "Bacterial large subunit ribosomal RNA", at positions 2155 to 2559 of the family's 2925-position model. Lineage: Bacteria; Bacillati; Bacillota; Bacilli; Lactobacillales; Lactobacillaceae. The record is from RNAcentral.
CUUUGAAGUCGGAACGCUAGUUUCGAUUGAGUCACCCUUGAGAUACUACCUCUGUUGUAUGAACGUUCUAACUCUGAUCAGUUAUCCUGAUCGAAGACAGUGUCUGGCAGGCAGUUUGACUGGGGCGGUCGCCUCCUAAAAGAUAACGGAGGCGCUCAAAGGUUUGCUCAGAAUGGUUGGAAAUCAUUCGUAGCGUGUAAAGGCAUAAGCAAGCUUGACUGUGAGACUGACAAGUCGAGCAGGUACGAAAGUAGGACUUAGUGAUCCGGUGGUUCCGUAUGGAAGGGCCAUCGCUCAACGGACAAAAGCUACCCCGGGGAUAACAGGCUCAUCUCCCCCAAGAGUCCACAUCGACGGGGAGGUUUGGCACCUCGAUGUCGGCUCAUCGCAUCCUGGGGCUGUAGU